AGCCUUGGAGCUUGCCCAAGCAUUCUCAAAAUCUUUCUCGGAUCCAAAAACAGCUGAUCGAUAUUCUAGCCAAAGGGGCCUCCAUGGCAAGACCCAGGUGCCUUUUUCACGGCUAAUGGGCCCAACACCAAGGCCUCAGAUAAAUGGCUACUAAAUUCUGAGUGGUGUUGUGGCCAAUAAGGCAUCUGGUGGUAAGAAGAUUGUGCCUCUGAUACUGAAGCUUUGGUUAAAAGCAAGCUGUUGAGCAAAUGAGUGUGCCCUCAGUUAUCUCAGCAAAUAGAUGGCCAUUUGAAAUCGAGUAGAAUGCUUCAGCUGAUUACAUAUUUACUUUGUAAACCCAUAUGCCCUUUUUGUUAAUCUCUCUUGAUAACUGUAUUCCUCAUUUUUUUAGGAGAGAGAGAGUGGUCUGUGUUGCUUAUUUAUAAAUUGAAAAUAGACUUCCUUGUACCAUAAAGUAGUGCUACAAAUGACUCAAUUUUCAAUUUAUAAAUAAGCAACACAGA
Molecule: unclassified non-coding RNA, 503 nt
Filed under: Hevea brasiliensis (rubber tree)
Lineage: Eukaryota; Viridiplantae; Streptophyta; Magnoliopsida; Malpighiales; Euphorbiaceae
Source: RNAcentral